RNAcentral lists this ribosomal RNA (507 nucleotides) under uncultured Bacilli bacterium. Its description in RNAcentral is "bacterial SSU rRNA". It matches the Rfam family "Bacterial small subunit ribosomal RNA", at positions 235 to 735 of the family's 1533-position model. The record is from RNAcentral. Lineage: Bacteria; Bacillati; Bacillota; Bacilli.
GGCGUAUUAGCUAGUUGGUGAGGUAACGGCUCACCAAGGCAAUGAUACGUAGCCGAACUGAGAGGUUGAUCGGCCACAUUGGGACUGAGACACGGCCCAAACUCCUACGGGAGGCAGCAGUAGGGAAUCUUCCACAAUGGACGCAAGUCUGAUGGAGCAACGCCGCGUGAGUGAAGAAGGCUUUCGGGUCGUAAAACUCUGUUGUUGGAGAAGAAUGGUCGGCAGAGUAACUGUUGUCGGCGUGACGGUAUCCAACCAGAAAGCCACGGCUAACUACGUGCCAGCAGCCGCGGUAAUACGUAGGUGGCAAGCGUUAUCCGGAUUUAUUGGGCGUAAAGCGAGCGCAGGCGGUUUUUUAAGUCUGAUGUGAAAGCCCUCGGCUUAACCGAGGAAGUGCAUCGGAAACUGGGAAACUUGAGUGCAGAAGAGGACAGUGGACUCCAUGUGUAGCGGUGAAAUGCGUAGAUAUAUGGAAGAACACCAGUGGCGAAGGCGGCUGUCUGGUCU